GUGGGGAAUAUUGGACAAUGGGCGCAAGCCUGAUCCAGCCAUGCCGCGUGUGUGAAGAAGGCCUUUUGGUUGUAAAGCACUUUAAGCGAGGAGGAGGCUCCUUUAGUUAAUACCUAAAGAGAGUGGACGUUACUCGCAGAAUAAGCACCGGCUAACUCUGUGCCAGCAGCCGCGGUAAUACAGAGGGUGCGAGCGUUAAUCGGAUUUACUGGGCGUAAAGCGUGCGUAGGCGGCUUUUUAAGUCGGAUGUGAAAUCCCUGAGCUUAACUUAGGAAUUGCAUUCGAUACUGGAAAGCUAGAGUAUGGGAGAGGAUGGUAGAAUUCCAGGUGUAGCGGUGAAAUGCGUAGAGAUCUGGAGGAAUACCGAUGGCGAAGGCAGCCAUCUGGCCUAAUACUGACGCUGAGGUACGAAAGCAUGGGGAGCAAACAGGAUUAGAAACCCCUGUAGUCC
RNAcentral lists this ribosomal RNA (451 nucleotides) under uncultured bacterium. RNAcentral describes it as "partial 16S ribosomal RNA". It matches the Rfam family "Bacterial small subunit ribosomal RNA", at positions 354 to 796 of the family's 1533-position model. The record is from RNAcentral.